AUACGUAGGGGGCGAGCGUUGUCCGGAAUGAUUGGGCGUAAAGGGCGCGUAGGCGGCGCGGUAAGUCUGGAGUGAAAGUCCUGCUUUCAAGGUGGGAAUUGCUUUGGAUACUGUCGCGCUUGAGUGCAGGAGAGGUUAUCGGAAUUCCCGGUGUAGCGGUGAAAUGCGUAGAGAUCGGGAGGAACACCAGUGGCGAAGGCGGGUAACUGGGCUGCAACUGACGCUGAGGCGCGAAAGUGUGGGGAGCAAACAGGAUUAGAUACCCUGGUAGUCCACACUGUAAACGAUGAAUGCUAGGUGUAAGAGGUAUCGACCCCUUUUGUGCCGGAGUCAACACAAUAAGCAUUCCGCCUGGGGAGUACGGCCGCAAGGUUGAAACUCAAAGGAAUUGGCGGGG
RNAcentral lists this ribosomal RNA (397 nucleotides) under uncultured bacterium. RNAcentral describes it as "partial 16S ribosomal RNA". It matches the Rfam family "Bacterial small subunit ribosomal RNA", at positions 523 to 918 of the family's 1533-position model. The record is from RNAcentral.